This 372-nucleotide ribosomal RNA is filed under the name Mesochorus sp. HD-439. Its description in RNAcentral is "eukaryotic LSU rRNA". The record is from RNAcentral. Lineage: Eukaryota; Metazoa; Arthropoda; Insecta; Hymenoptera; Ichneumonidae.
CGAAUGGGGAGAUUCAUCGUCAGCUCAUUUUGUAUAUGUAUAAGUUAUGAUGCGGGUUACUACUUGUAGUAUUGCCUGCACAUUCUUGUAUAUUUAGUUGCAAGAUGUUGUCGGCGUGCACUUCUCCCCUAGUAGGACGUCGCGACCUGUUGGGUGUCGGUCUACGGCCCAAGUGAUAGCCUUUAAUGUAAUUUAAAAAACAUUGAAGAUCCUUGGUGUUUUCUGACCGGCUACUUGGCAGUAUUCGUACGGUAUUUAGCCGCUAAAUUUAUUAAGCGUCCAUAUCCAUCACAAGCGAGGCUAAUUUACUGAUAGUACGGACCUAGUGCCGUCGUUGGUAUUGGCCAGCUGUUGGUUGAUGGUAUCUAGGAC